RNAcentral lists this long non-coding RNA (221 nucleotides) under Homo sapiens (human). RNAcentral describes it as "HSALNT0146188". Lineage: Eukaryota; Metazoa; Chordata; Mammalia; Primates; Hominidae. The record is from RNAcentral.
GCCUUGUCCUACGCGCCUCUCCCCCGCUCCCGGCACCUCUCCCGACUUCUCCAGCCCUCCUCUUGGCAGGAGUGGUCUCGAGGACUGAGACCACUGCUCUGUGUGCCUCCUUGAGCCCCACGCUAGUUUGCCCCGGUAUCCGCUUGGCCCUCAUCUCUGGAGCAUGUAAACCUGGGGAAGGGGUAGGGAGGUGCUUCCGGAAUCACAGGGAGUAGGGUCCG